Hypanus sabinus (Atlantic stingray) is the source of this 10703-nucleotide long non-coding RNA. RefSeq lists it as uncharacterized. NCBI's taxonomy places the organism in Eukaryota, Metazoa, Chordata, Chondrichthyes, Myliobatiformes, Dasyatidae. The record is from RefSeq and is a predicted model, not a curated record. The transcript has 6 exons.
AGGAGCAUGCUUUUCAUUAGAAAUUUGCUACAAUUCCUACAUUACAUCAGUGAUUACAAUUCCAAACAUAGUUCAUUAGUUAUAAUGCACUUAAAGAGUCACCGUCGGGUCAUGAAAGAUGGCUACUUUAAACCUGCUCAGCUUUCAUGUCAUUGAUUAGAUUUGUAUGCAUGCAUCUCUAAUGAAAUAUCCACGAGUGACAACAGUUAACAGAGUGGCCAUAACUGGAAUACUGGGUGGACAGAUCUCAAGUAGAAAUAUAGUUCUCUUCAGCACUUAACGUAUAGCCUAUAACAUUAGAAAUGCAAUUACUCACACUGCCUCAACCUUCCUAAUAGGGCCAGCUCAUUUAAUUGCUCAGAAGUUCACCAUACUACAUAGCAGCAGCUGCUAUCAAACUCUGUUUCUGAAAUUUAGUUCAACUGAGUUCCCGUUAUCAAGGCAUAUGAAAAUAAAAGCAUUUGGCAGCUUAACUGAUAACAAGAGUUUAAAAAAUAACCAGAGAAAAGAAACAUGAAAGGGAGAAGGAGGAACAGCAUUCACAAAUUCCUUAAAAAAUUCAAAGUGGCAAAUCAUGCUAGCUGUGGGAAGUGGAUCCAGAGGAAAUCACUGGUUUUGAGUGGUCAAAUACUACUCAAUUGAGUGUUAUUAUUACUAAUAAUCCUAGACAAUUCAGAAUCAUCACUGACAUAUGUCGUGAAAUUUGUUCUUUACUGGCAGUAAGACAUAAAAAACAGAGUGCAAAUUACAAUCUACCCAGAAAUAAAUAAGUAUCAGAAGAAGAAUAAUCAGGUUGUAUUCAUGGACUGCUAAGAAAUCUGAAGGCAGAGCUAUUCUUAAUAUGUUGAGCUUGUGUCUUCAGGCUCCUGUACUUCCUUCCUGAUGGCAGUAAUGUGAAGAAUGAAACUCCUGGAUGUUGAAUGUCCUUCACACAGCGUCCUCAAGGCACCACCUUUUGUAGGUGUCUUCACCGUCAGUGGUGAGGAGGUUUAUGCCCGUGAUGGAACUGGCUGAGUCUACAACCCUAUGCAGCCUCUGCCAUUCUGGUGCGUUGGAGCCUCCAUACCAGGCAGUGAUGUAACCAGUCAGAAUGCUCUCCGUUGUAUAUCUGACUUCUUCGUAACAUCCUCAAACUCCUAAUAAAGUACAGUUGCUGUUGUGCCUUCUUUGUGAUAGAAACAAUAUGUUGGCCCAGGAUAGAUCCUCUGCGAUGUUGAUGUCCAGGAACUUGCAGCUGCUCACCCUUCCAACUGAUGUACAUGACUAAUUAUUAAUCUGGGAUAAUCCAAGAAAGGAUGCCAUUUCAGCCACUUCACUCUGUGAAGUGUGGGCUACAUGACUUCAGCUGCAGAGUCCUGGCUGGCUGAAAUUCCCCUGCAUUAUAAAAGAAGAUGUGUCUCUCAAAUGUUAAACUACACAAUAAAACAACCAAAUGAAGUAUAGAAUCAGAGAUCCCAUUUACUUUAAUGGCCUGAGGAAUGGGGAAGCCAUGAAGCCUCACCAGACAAGUUCUCCAGUCUCAAACAAGAGAAAAUCUGCAGAUGCUGGAAAUUUGAGCAACACAGACAAAAUGCUGGAGGAACUCAUCAGGCCAGGAAGCAUCUAUGGAGAAGAAUAAACAGUCGAUUUACAGACAGGAUGGGGGUCAUUACCACAAGUUCAAGAAAUCGAUGUUCAUGCCAUCAGGUUGGAGGCUACCUAAACAAAAUAUACGGUGUUGUUCCUCCAACCUCAGGUUGGUCUUGAAAGCCACAGUUUGCAGACUGAAUUCUACAACAAAAAUAAACACUACCUCUAAAAUGUAACCAAGUAUCAAAAGAAUUCUGAAAAACCUCUAUUUCAUACCAUAUAAUUUUACACAUCAUGGAAGUUGCUGGCAUCUCCUACAUUUUACUUCACAUUCUUCCAGUCAGAUAAGUUGGUUACAAGUAUGUUUCUAAAAUCAGUACUCUGUUUAUUAUUCUUGCUCCACAGUUUCUCAUUAACAAUAAUUUACACACUGUUCUCACUGUGGUCUCUUGCUACUAGUUCAUGCAGGUUCUUCUCAUGUAGUUAUUCACAGAUGACAAACCUUAGGGGUUUUUGCUCUUCUGGACUUUUUUUUAAAACAGUGUUCAUCACUGCUUGUGUUUUCUUCACUGUGAGUUUCAUAGCAAUUGUUUUGAACAUAGAGAUCUUGGGUUGUUACUCACCAUGAAACUCUGGGUCAAAAGUGAAACAAAAAAAGCUGUAAAAACAGCAUGAUCAAUAUACAACUAUUAAAACAUGCAGACACCAUUGUAAUCAGUGUACAACUAAGAAAGCAGUACAAAAACAAUGAGCUAUAUGCAGUCAGCAAGACUUGGGGAAGCAAGUAGAAGUUCAUAAGGUAGAUCAAGCAUUAGCAAUACAGUACUUUAACAGAAACAGUAAAUACAGGAUUGCCACUUUUUGGAAAACACUUGUAAAUCAAAUGAUGAACACUAGAAUAACUGGAACCACUCAUAAGUUAUGUUCCAAAAAUAUUCUUAGAAAGUUUCCUUUUCAUGAAAUAAUGUGUACUUUUAAGUUUCAGGGGCAAUAAGUGGGAGUGAAAUUCUUAUUUGGUCUUGAGCACCAGGUACUGUACAGACAGUAAAAGCCUGGCGGUUUAAUUGGUUCUUCUGAGCCUCACAUAAUCUGAUAAAUUCAUUAAUAUUCAGAAAAUAAACAUAACAAUGGCUUCGAAAAAUUGAACUUCAAUUGAUUUUCAGCAAGUAUCCCAUGGGCUGUCAGGUUCUCAAAGCACUUUGUGAAGACAUUUUUAAUAUAAUGCUUGAAAGGAGCAGGUGACCUUGGGCUGAUGGGCUUCAACACCAUUCACCACUGGCAUUUUUUACUUGCUUUACACUAGGCCUGAUGUAAACUGAAUGCUUUAGCACUGUUUUCAGUCAACUAAUCUAUUUUCCUUGCAUUGUACGAUCAUUAGGAUGGACCUUGGCUUUAUUCCCCUACUAAUUCAUAUGAUUCUAUGAUCAUCAUUUCAUGUUUCUUCAAAAUCAGGUUUGUCAUGUAAUAAGCAUCAAAAAUAAUCAUGAAAAUCACAGGCCUAUAGUUUGCUGAGCUUUUUUCAACAGCUCUACAUUAAAAAAAAAAUCAGGUCACCAGUAUGUAGUAGUCCCAACUUUCAAAACAUCAAGUGACAGUGCUGGUGCUUUUCAAGGUUCCCCGGUGCAAGAAAUCUGCUCUCACAUCCUCCGUGAGGUUAGACCACAAUAUAUUCAUUUGAAUGAAGCAUGUAGGUCAGCGGGGAAAAUAAGUUAGAUGUCCUCUUAUUUUAUGUUUUUAAUUAUUUAAAUGUGCUUAAAAUGUUCUUCUUUAAUUAUACCAUGAGAAAAGGGGACUGACAGAAAGCAGGUUCUCUAAUAUAAACACUGUUGCAAUACACUGCUCUUUCAGAAUAAAGAUUCUCAAUGAGACCCUAGAAAAUGUGGGCUAUUCAUCUAGAAAGCAGACUGAUGAAGAAAUUUACCACUAACUUUUUGCACCAGCACAGCCUUAGAUCAACUUAAGAAAUAUGUAGAUGGAAGAACUGCAAAUGAUGGGAUCUACAGCAACAAACAAGAUACUGGAGGAGCUCAGUGGGUCAGGCAGCAUCUAUGGACAGAAAUGGACAAUCAGCUUUUUGGGUCACUAUCAAUAUGUUCAAAGGUCAAAACCUCAAACUUAGCACAAUGUUUGUGGUCUCCCAAGAAGCCAUGAUUCUGGAAAUUUGUGAGACAUGAUUGACUUAAAGCAGGUAGCUCAAAAUACUGGAAAGAUACAACAAACAUGAUCUCCAGAAAAAUUCCAGAUCAUGCACAGUUUCUUUCCAGGCCAUGUUGUUCAUUCAAUAAUACAUUGAACCUUAAUGAAGAAGGAAAGGUUAAUUUCUCCAACAAAUAUGAACUUUAAUUUAAAAUGAAUAUAAAUAAAAUCAAAUACCUUAAAAUCAUGAUGACUGAAAGGCAGAUGAUCAGGCCUGUUAAUGUUACUAAUACACCUAGUGAGGCUACAACGCAUGUAUACAUAUAUGCUGACCAUCAAAAAACGACACUCGAUACACAGAGAGAGCGCACCCUCACAACAAAAAAUGAGGUCCAAACUUCACAGUCCCAUCUCAAUUGGCUGUGAAUGCUGGAGAGCAAUUGGAGAGCUAAUGGGUAGGGUAGGCUCCAAAAAUAUGCUCACCCUCAACAGGGUCCAGCAUUCAAGAGCCAAACAGAAGAUUGAAGUAUUCACAACAAGAAAUGCUGAACAGAUGAACUAUCUUGGCUUCCUUCUUGGAGCUCUACCAUCACAGAAGCCAAGUUUUCAGAUAUUUGAUUCACUCAUAUAUUCACUUAUAUAUAUUCACUCAUAUCAGUAUAUGGAACAGUAGUAACUGACAGUAUUCCAACAACUCCACCCAAGCCCACAACAUCCACCCACAAAAACAAGAGCAAGUGCUGGACUAUCACCACCUGCAGGCUUCCCAAGUCACACACUAUUUUUGGUUUUUGAUUUGGAAACCCAUCACUGGUCCAUCAUCAUUGGAUCGAAGUCCUGCAACUGCCUACAGAGCUGGACUGUGGAAGAACCUUUACUAAAAUGACUGUAGUGAUUCAAGAAAUCAUCUCCUUCCCACCUUCUCAAAGGACAAUGGGGGAUAAACAAUAAAUGGUGUCCUUGCCAGUGAUAACCAGAUACAGAAUAAUGAAUAAAUGAAAAGCAAAUUACGGUGAUGGUGGAAGGCCACCUCUAAUUACUCCCAUUUCUUAUUGCCUUAUAAUCCUACAGAUCUCUAGAGUUCAUUCACUACAGGUUACACUGUGAAAAGUUUUUAUCAUUAUCAAAUUCUUUAUGAGACUGGUUUCAAAUUCGCUUUGUGAAGGUUUCUGCAGUUAAUAAACAGUUCAUAACAAUCAGGAUAUAAAAAACAAAACUUGUAAUAGAUUUUGGAAAAAGUUUUUUUUGUAAUUUUUUAUUGAAGAUCAUCAAACAUUUCCAUAAGAUGUAUUUCAGACAUUGUACAUAUAUAUCAUAUAAUCAUAUAUAUCACAAGACCUUGGAAAAAGUUUUAAACAUCUUUUAUGCACAUCAACGUGGGAUGGUAGCAUAGUAGUUAGCAUAACACUUUACAGUACCAGCGACUUGUGUUCAAUUCCCGCCGCUGCCUGUAAGGAAUUUGUACACUCUCCCUGUGACCGCGUGGGCUUCCUCUGGGGGCUCUGGUUUCCUCCCACAGUCCAAAGACAUAUCAGUUGGUAGGUUAAUUGGUCACAGUAAAUUGCCUCGUGAUUCGACUAGGAUUAAUUUGAGGGGAUUGCUAGGUGGUGCAGCUUGAAGGGCCAAGAAGGGCCUACUCCGCACAGUAUGUCAAUAACUAGAUAAAAAAAAUUCUAAUUCAAUACCUUUAAUAAUCCAUGAUUUGAAGGAAAAAAAGACAGGCAGAGUAACAAUUCACUCUACAUCAGUAACCUAUUACUCACAGCUAGAGCCAACAGAUAAUAUUACAAACCUAACCUGACAGAUGGUUCAAUGAAGUCACAUUGCAACUGAAAUCUUCCUUGUCAUUUCUUUCCUUGGAUGUUUCCAUGUACAAUGGAACCUUUGCUUGCCGAUGAGUAAUUUUUUCACAGAAUAGGUCAUUGAAAUAUCACAGCAUGAAGAUGACUAUUAGGUCAUUUAGGUCCACAUGAGUCCGCGUAACAGCAAUUCAAGUUCCCUUCCCAUACUUCUAGAGUAAAUCGCUUCCAGCAGUAACCUAGCAAAUUUUUCAUUCUCUCUUGCCCUUUGUCUCGCUAUUUUGCACUCACAGCUGUUGAGGGUUCUGGAAUUGAAGGGCUGUUAUGUUUUGUAACUUCAAACAUGAACUAAUUCAAAGGAAGACACACGAGCCAGGGAAUGUGAGUCUAUCUUUGUGUUAACUUGACCAAGGUGUGUACGUAUCUCGAGGAUGGUGAUAACGUAUGGAAUUCAAGUAUUUAUACAAAUAACCCGUAAUGAUUUAAAAGAACAAGCAUGCAUAAUCAACCUAUAUAUAUAUAAAACAAGAUUACUCAGAUACUACUUAAACACAUGUAAGCCCUGGUUAAGUUUUUGCUCCUAUGCUGUGUGUAUUUCACUUCAGCAGUUCCAUAAGAGCAGUCUGUUCUGCUUUCAGCCUGUUUGGGUUGGGCCGAGAUAAGGGGCUUUAUUGUUCAACUUAGGAAUGUGGUAUCACCCUAUCAGGAUGGUGGAAUUGGGAGAAGGUUCCAGCGAAUGCUGAGCGAGGAAUUUUUGUGAAGUACACUUGUGUGGGCUGAUGUCUUUUUUUAGCAGGAGCUGGGAGGAGACAGGAGGGAAGAUGGCUGAGGAUGUUGAUCCUUUGCACAAGGUGUUUUGUGCAGAUGAAAGACUUCAAGGAAGAGGGACCAAUAUUCCUGUGGGAGAGCCCAUUUGUUCGAGAUGGAUUUUGAGCGACAUUCAGAAGGCAGUAUGUGUUUUCACGCUGACUGAGGGUCCAGCACAUGAAUUACAGAUAAGUUCAAGAUGAGCUCCAACUUACGUGCAUUUUUGAUUGUUUAAUUAUAAUGGGCCCUUUUUGUUUCUUUUCCAUUUUUUUCUUUAAUAACUCUUUGCUUAAGUUAACAUUCAGAAAUAUACUUUCUUUGUAACUGUAUGCAGUAUACAAUCUGUUUUAUCUUCCUGACAGGCGAUUGCAGGGGGGCAGUAAAUCACACAGCAUUCGCACAAACUGAAAGACUUCCCAACCUCAAGGAUUUGAUGGGACCAAAAUCGUAAUCACUCUAGAUGUAUGACGCCUGUGAAAGUGAACACAUCUGCUGUUCCGCUGUUCCUCACUGCGCUUGCAAUCUCAGUCCUGAUUCCAGUCAAGGUGGCACACGAGUACAACGACCCCACGAUCAACAUCUACUGGAUAGACCAUGAAACCAUAUAUUUCACUUCAUUUAUGUCUUUUUCGUUUGAUUUUCAUCUUGAGCGUGAUUUUGGAACUGUUGGGAAUCUGAUUUACAGUUGCAGAUCGUUCGGAUGUUUCAGCACUCUGCCGUCUCUGAGGAUUCUGGGAGACAGGUAGCGUGCACAAACCUCGUGACGAGAAGGCAGCAGGACGGAUCAUGAGCCAUUUGACCAUUUAAUUGAUAAAGCGACGAGGAAGAUUCAAACAUUAAGGCAAAUGCAGAAGGUAUAUACUGAUCAAGACGCUGGGCAUUACCGUGGUAUUUUCAAUAAGCUAUCUCAUGUGUUCUUCAAGACGGUGUGAAUGAGCAAAAUAAUGAGCUGUUGGAGGAAUUCAGUGGAUCGGGAAACACCUGUCCAGGGAAAGGGACAGUCUUUAAGAAAAGCUGGGCUGGAUAAACUUUUUAGCUGUAGCCUCCUAAAACAGGUGAGGCAAUCUUUUGGAAUAGUCAGAAUAUACUUCUAAUUCAAAUGCAAAUUGCCAAUCGCCAAAAUGCAUCUGACAGUUAUCAGAGCCUGCAUGCAAAAUAGUCUUGGCACUUUUUUCAAAAAUAAAAAAAGUCCUUCAGAUCAAUUACUAAGAAAGAGUAAACAAUGCUUCAAAAUGGUGCAGUGGUUAAGAAUACAACUUCUUUACUUUGUGCCAAAAAGACUAUUUUUAAGAACUGCUUUCACAUACUAUCCAUCCUAGGAGUCACAAGUUUGGGACUCUCAAUUGAAUAAAGCAACCCCAAAUUUUGUGGGAAUUGUUUUUCUUUUGACUAUAUUCGGCACCUGCCUCCACUCAUGCACUCUGUUAACUUUGAUGGAGAAGAUAGGCUUUUUUGGAAAAGAAAGAUGUGCUUUGGACCAAAUACAUCUUUUGAAAUAACUAACUAAUAAAAAAGAUAUUUUUCAAGUUUUUCAAUGAAGAAUUUUUACUAUUUUUAAAUAGUUAAAAUAGUUUGAUUAAUUGUUAAUAAUUUUUUGAAUAUUUACAAACACAUUUUUAAAAACAUUAAGCUGGGUGCAGUUUGAAAAAAUGUCCAAGAUUUUUCAUCAUGUCUGACAGUGCAGUCCUGCCAGAUGAUGGCAUUUAUAUUAAGAAGGACUGAAUCAUAAAUUACCUUUGCUGACAGAGUUGAAGUUGGUUUUAUUGAGGAACGUACUGCUAAGUACUGCAGAGAACUAGUGAGUAGAUGAGUGGAGAGUGUGCUAAAUUUGUUGCAAACAGAAAAUUCUGAUCAAAUGGAUUUUAAAAUUAAAAAUAUAAAGAAGUUUAGUACUGACAUUUUAACUUUUAUGUUGAAUAUGAAGGUUCCAUUAUUUAUAUCCACUCUCUAAAAUAUUUAGUAGGUUGUUUAAAGAGUUUGCCUUUUCCAUCCUAGUUUGGUUACCCCAUUAGUAUUUUGUAGUGUCAUAAAUUUCUCAGUCAACUUUAUGACUGCUAUUAGUCAGUUUCCCUCUGAACUGAUGGCUUUCAGCAGCACACGUCAUAAAAGGGGAACCUCUUCCUAACGAGGUUGGAAGCUUUCAUUGAAGUCAGCAGCAGAAAAUUGCUUCACCAAUGACUACAAGUUUCAGACCAUUGUAUUAGAAAGAAUUACUGGCCGAGGUAAACAAACACAAUUUCUGUCCUUCACUUGUGUCACGCUUCAAAUAUUAUUACCACUGUCAUAAUUUUGACAUUUAUCCUUUACUUUAUAUUCUUCAUUUGAAAUACAAAGACGCAGGAUGGUUUUUUAAAAUUUGAAAAUAACUCAAAAACACAUUUUUAUUUGCAUUCCAAACAGCCUUCAACUGAACUUUUGUGGUCAGAUUUGACAACUGAAUAAUACCUGGAGAAUUGCGUAAAUUUAAUACUUCUCAGAAUCAGGUUUAAUAUCACCGACAUAUAUUGUGUAUUUGUUGAACUACUUUUUUCAAUAAGUGUUAUGAGAUUUCAAAUGUUUGUUAUUUAACAGUAACUUAAAAUAUUUUUCCUAUUCUAUUUUUAAAUAUACUACCUAGCACAUAAACUUUUAUCUGACAUGUCCCUCAUCAAUAGUUCCUGCUAUAAAAAAUGUUUUCUAAUAUUAAUGCAGUAUCAAGGCCUUCCUAUGCCCUAUCUUUAUCAGAGGAAUGCACAGUGGGUUUGCAUUUGAUCUUCAAAAGUAGUAAGUAUAUUUCAUGAUGAACUGUGUAUCCUCAUUUUCAUUUCAAUGCCUGAAUACCUCAUUACUGUUGGCUGUAUAUUAACUAGAACAUGAACAGGAAGGCUGUUGAAGGAUACAAAGAGCAGAUUUUGCGCAGAAAAAUGACAUUUACUCCCUCGAUUUGUUUGCUAUCCUUGCCAACUUAACCCAGCUGAUCUCUACUGAUCCUUCACUUGUCAUUAUCUGUCUUGCUGCCAUGGUAACCCCUACUAUUGUACACAAUGCAUAUGCAGGUGUUUGUUUGGAAUAUAGCCGUCCUUCCCUUUUCUCAUCAGGGUCAUAACAACUGAGCACCAUUAAAUCUUGGGAAAGCUGAUGGCUUUGUUAAAUUGUCAAUCUCCUCAACAAAACCUUUCGCACAGAGGAGUUGGUUCAUUCUAUACUUACUGUAUUUUACCAAACCCCAUCUUUUCUUUUACUUUUUUAUAGCCUCCAUCCAAAUUCCACUCAUUGGUCUAUGAAAUUUCAUGUUAGUUGUAAAUUUGAGGUAAAUCAGAAAUCAUGCUGAUUCGUUAUGUCAGUUGUAGGUACAGAUUUUAUGUACAAAUGGAAAGGAUUAAGAGAUAAUCAGUGUGACUUCAGAAAAACCUGUCCCACUGAUUUGGCUGGGUGUUUUGUGGAGGUAAAGUAGUUUGAUGAAGCUAGGAUGAUGGACUUUCAUAAGGUCCCAUGUGGUAGGCUGCUCCAGAAGAUUAAGGUACAUGGGACCCAAAUUACACUGGCUAAUUAGAUACAAAAUUUGCCUGGUGACAGGAGGUGGAGGGUAGUGCUUUUCUGAUUGGAACUCUAUGUCUGCUUGCAUACUGCAGAGAUCAAUGCUGGCACCUUCUUUGUUUGUGGUCUUAAUCUCAUGGAAGUGAAUGGAGCAGAGAUGUGGUAUGCGAAAUUUUGUAAAAUAUUAGAUGAAAUUCUGACACUUGAAUUCUUUAUGAGCUCACAGCAAGGAAGGUGUCAAGGUUAAACACCUUAGGUUUGUUAAAUGUUUGCUGAUAGCAGCCACAGUAUUUACUGGCCUCAAGGCAUCAGUAGCAUGAGAACAAAAGACCAGAGUUCAUCUGUUUCUCAAUGCUUGUGGAACUAUAACAUCUCUAUUUCUCCCUUUCAGGGUUCUUUUGAAGACCCUGACCUGGAGUUACAUGCUGAGUUCGGUUUGUUGUGGGAAUGGGACCCACUCUCGGGGUUUCACAACCGGCCGCUUCUCGAAAUGCAGCCUGGAAGAUUUAUCACGCCUUCAGGGUGCCGGAUCUUCAUGGCUCUGGAGGUGGGCAGACUCGAGGCUGGUGCGUCGUGGGAGACGGAAGAUCGAAAGCAGCGAACUGGCUGCUGUCUGUGUGCUCAGAGACCCGAGUUCUUUGGGCACAGAGCACAGACUGUUAAUAUCAUAAAUCGUUCACGGGACUUCACCUAGACUGAAGGAUGGUGAUUUCACAAGUCGGAAUUCAGAGUUCCGACAACAACGGUAAUCAAAUUCCCCGACAACAGCAACAAUCAAGUGAGACUACAAAUCGUGAGCACUAAAACUUGUGUAACUUGCUACAUGGAAUUAUGUGUGGUUUAUUUAUGCUUUCUGCUUCAUGAUAAUAAAUUAUG